GCCCCUGUAGCUCAGUUGGCAGAGCAAGUGACUUUUAAUCACUGGGUCCUCGGUUCGAGCCCGAGCGGGGGCA
RNAcentral lists this transfer RNA (73 nucleotides) under Leifsonia xyli subsp. cynodontis DSM 46306. RNAcentral describes it as "tRNA-Lys (TTT) (tRNA-Lys-TTT-1-1)". It matches the Rfam family "tRNA". Rfam says of the family: Transfer RNA (tRNA) molecules are approximately 80 nucleotides in length. Their secondary structure includes four short double-helical elements and three loops (D, anti-codon, and T loops). Lineage: Bacteria; Bacillati; Actinomycetota; Actinomycetes; Micrococcales; Microbacteriaceae. The record is from RNAcentral.